Molecule: ribosomal RNA, 500 nt
Filed under: uncultured soil bacterium
Lineage: Bacteria
Description: bacterial SSU rRNA
Rfam family: Bacterial small subunit ribosomal RNA
Source: RNAcentral
AGAGUUUGAUCCUGGCUCAGGACGAACGCUGGCGGCGCGCUUAACACAUGCAAGUCGAGCGAGAACCGGAGCUUCGGCUCCGGGGAAAGCGGCGAACGGGUGAGUAACACGUGGGCAACCUGCCCUCGGCACCGGGAUAGCCCGGGGAAACCCGGAUUAAUACCGGACAGCCUCCGGAGCCUUCGGGCACCGGAGAAAAGGUAGCUUCGGCUUCCGGCUGAGGAGGGGCCUGCGGCGGAUUAGCUUGUUGGUGGGGUAACGGCUCACCAAGGCGACGAUCCGUAGCUGGUCUGAGAGGACGAUCAGCCACACUGGGACUGAGACACGGCCCAGACUCCUACGGGAGGCAGCAGUGGGGAAUCUUGCGCAAUGGGCGAAAGCCUGACGCAGCGACGCCGCGUGCGGGAAGAAGGCCUUCGGGUUGUAAACAGCUUUCAGGAGGGACGAAGCCACUCGGGUUAGUAGCCCAGAGGGUGACGGACCUCCAGAGAAGCCCCGGA